GUCUAUGGUCAUGCCACCCUGAACGUGCCUGAUCUCAUCUGAUCUCGGAAGCUAAGCAGAGUCAAGCCUGGUUAGUACUUGGAUGAGAGACCAUCUAGGAAUAUCAGGUGCUGUAAGCA
This 119-nucleotide ribosomal RNA is filed under the name Pteropus alecto (black flying fox). Lineage: Eukaryota; Metazoa; Chordata; Mammalia; Chiroptera; Pteropodidae. The record is from RNAcentral.